RNAcentral lists this ribosomal RNA (914 nucleotides) under uncultured marine archaeon. RNAcentral's name for it is "bacterial SSU rRNA". It matches the Rfam family "Archaeal small subunit ribosomal RNA", at positions 1 to 922 of the family's 1478-position model. The record is from RNAcentral.
UUCCGGUUGAUCCCGCCGGACCUGACUGCUAUCGGAUUGAUACUAAGCCAUGCGAGUCUUUGUAGUAAUACAAGGCAUACGGCUCAGUAACGCGUAGUCAACCUACCCUAUGGACAAGAAUAAUCUCGGGAAACUGAGCAUAAUUCUUGAUAGAUCAUAAUGCCUGGAAUGGUAUAUGGUUAAAAUGAUUCGUCGCCAUAGGAUGGGACUGCGGCCUAUCAGCUUGUUGGUGAGGUAAUGGCCCACCAAGGCGAUUACAGGUACGGGCUCUGAGAGGAGAAGCCCGGAGAUGGGUACUGAGACAAGGACCCAGGCCCUAUGGGGCGCAGCAGGCGAGAAAACUUUGCAAUGUGCGAAAGCACGACAAGGUUAGUCCGAGUGAUUUCUGCUAAAGAGAUCUUUUGCUAGUUAUAAAACCACUAGUGAAUAAGGGGUGGGCAAGUUCUGGUGUCAGCCGCCGCGGUAAAACCAGCACCUCAAGUGGUCAGGAUGAUUAUUGGGCCUAAAGCAUCCGUAGCCGGCUCUGUAAGUUUUCGGUUAAAUCCAUGCGCUCAACGUAUGGGCUGCCGAAAAUACUGCAGAGAUAGGGAGUGGGAGAGGUAGACGGUACUCGGUAGGAAGGGGUAAAAUCCUUUGAUCUAUCGAUGACCACCUGUGGCGAAGGCGGUCUACCAGAACACGUUCGACGGUGAGGGAUGAAAGCUGGGGGAGCAAACCGGAUUAGAUACCCGGGUAGUCCCAGCCGUAAACGAUGCAGACUCGAUGAUGCAUUGGCAUAUAGCCAGUGCAGUGUCGCAGGGAAGCCGUUAAGUCUGCCGCCUGGGAAGUACGUACGCAAGUAUGAAACUUAAAGGAAUUGGCGGGGGAGCACCACAAGGGGUGAAGCCUGCGGUUCAAUUGGAUUCAACGCCGGG